GGUGCCGGCCUAUCGGUGCUCCCCCUAUGGCUUGUACCUUGGCAGAGUCAACAUACAUAUGAGAUUUCUUUGGUAAUCAACUUCUUAUUUCAUUAAGCAACAUUGUUUAUAUAGUUCUCCUAGUUCACAAUUCUUUUGAGUGCUUUAAUCUAUACGACCCUAUAGGUUAAGUAGUAAUUAUAGGUGUAAGCGUGGUGCUUAGACCUAGGUUACUUGUGGAUGCACCCUACAUUCUGGACCGAUGGUAGCUCGUGGAGGGUGAAUUUUAUAGCCUCAUUGAGUCCUAUGUAGCCCACCUCCUGUCUGUAGGCAAAGUAGGGUGCAGUUGCUAGGAUAAACAUCCUCUGCUGGUGUCUUUUUCCUAAUGCGGUGUCUCUAGUUGAAUAGAAGACAUAGUUUACUGAUAUAUACUUUUUGCAAUUUCCUCUAUACUCCCAAUCUUCUCAAGUCUUGUGCUACUUUGGGUUAAGUUAGACCAUAGUUAACCUCACACAUUUCCAUGUGGAAACAAUAUUUAAAACCUUUGGGUGAAGUGCUCUAUCAGUAUUCGUGUGCUUGCGG
Molecule: long non-coding RNA, 561 nt
Filed under: Sorghum bicolor (sorghum)
Lineage: Eukaryota; Viridiplantae; Streptophyta; Magnoliopsida; Poales; Poaceae
Description: long non-coding RNA (SBIC_LNC001450)
Source: RNAcentral